AGCAGCCGCGGUAAUUCCAGCUCCAAUAGCGUAUAUUAAAGUUGUUGCAGUUAAAAGCUCGUAGUUGAAUUUCGGGGUUAGUAGGUCGGUCGUGCCACAGGUAUGUACUGGUCUCACUGAUUCCUCCCUCCUGAUGAACCGUAAUGCCAUUAAUUUGGUGUUGCGGGGAAACUGGACUGUUACUUUGAAAAAUUGAGUGUUUAAAGCAGGCUAACGCUUGAAUACAUUAGCAUGGAAUAAUGAAAUAGGACGUUCGAUCCUAUUUUGUUGGUUUCUAGGAUUGACGUAAUGAUUAAUAGGGAUAGUUGGGGGCAUUAGUAUUCAAUUGUCAGAGGUGAAAUUCUUGGAUUUAUGAAGACUAACUACUGCGAAAGCAUUUGCCAAGGAUGUUUUCAUUAAUCAAGAACGAAAGUUAGGGAUCGA
This 423-nucleotide ribosomal RNA is filed under the name uncultured Glomeromycotina. RNAcentral's name for it is "SSU rRNA". It matches the Rfam family "Eukaryotic small subunit ribosomal RNA", at positions 569 to 1001 of the family's 1831-position model. The record is from RNAcentral. Lineage: Eukaryota; Fungi; Glomeromycota.